Molecule: long non-coding RNA, 636 nt
Organism: Cylas formicarius (sweet potato weevil)
Lineage: Eukaryota; Metazoa; Arthropoda; Insecta; Coleoptera; Brentidae
Exons: 3
Source: RefSeq, a predicted model, not a curated record
UAUUAUUUCGGCAUACUACGCCGGAUUUUCUGAUUUUCCGAAGAAAAGUGUAUUAAGUAUUAAACUUGUGUACUGUGCGAUAUAAAUUUCUUAUAAUUUUUCGAAGAAAAGCGUAUUAUUUGUCUUUGAUACGCUUUUCCUUCAAUUGUCAAGAACAGAAGACAAAUACCGUCAAUAACGAAGACUUGGAAAUUACUUUUUAUAGUGAUAACUGCGGAGCUCAGAAUAAAAACAAAUAGAAAAGCAUUUCUCAUAAAUUCCUUAUUGCCGGACACACGCAAAAUGAAGGAGACAGCACAUAUUCAACAAUUGAAAAAGAGGUAUUUUUUUUCCUAUAUAACUGUUCUCGAAAACUUCCGAAACUUAAAGAAAGAAAAGAAUUAACACACAAAGACUUUAUAGAUGUCAAACAAUUAACAACAGAUAUUGGUAAUAAUUUCGAUAAAAAUGUUGAAAAUGAAUAGGUUUACUUAUCCCAGAUUAAAAUUGUAAAAGUAGAAAAGGAACAGCCUUUCAUGUUUUUUUAUAAACAGUCAUAUUCGGAUAGCCAAUCGAAGUGUGUUAAUGUUAAACAACAAAAAAUAAAGAGAAAAUCUAGAUCUGCGGCAUCUUCUUUGCCAGCAGAACUUAAACUUA